GGUAUCUUGGCCCGAGUGGGUCUAAGGGGGCGGAACUUAAGAUCCGCUAGACGUUUGUCUGCGUGGGUUCAACCCACAGGUACCA
This 85-nucleotide transfer RNA is filed under the name Pythium insidiosum. Its description in RNAcentral is "tRNA-Leu". It matches the Rfam family "tRNA". Rfam says of the family: Transfer RNA (tRNA) molecules are approximately 80 nucleotides in length. Their secondary structure includes four short double-helical elements and three loops (D, anti-codon, and T loops). The record is from RNAcentral. Lineage: Eukaryota; Oomycota; Peronosporomycetes; Pythiales; Pythiaceae.